RNAcentral lists this ribosomal RNA (358 nucleotides) under unidentified eubacterium clone EH-4. RNAcentral describes it as "bacterial SSU rRNA". It matches the Rfam family "Bacterial small subunit ribosomal RNA", at positions 32 to 380 of the family's 1533-position model. Lineage: Bacteria; Bacillati; Actinomycetota; Actinomycetes. The record is from RNAcentral.
AACGUUGGCGGUGCGCUUAAUGCAUGCAAGUCGAGGGAGAACCAGUUGAUUCGUAAGAUUCGGCUGGGGAAACCGGCGAACGGGUGCGUAACACGUGAGGAACCUGCCCCGAAGACCGGGAUAGCCCGAGGAAACUCGGAUUAAUACCGGAUACCCUCUUUGGACCACAUGGUCGAUUGAGGAAAUGGUCCGCCGCUUCGGGAUGGCCUCGCGGCCUAUCAGCUUGUUGGUGAGGUAAUGGCUCACCAAGGCCGAGACGGGUAGCUGGUCUGAGAGGACGAUCAGCCACACUGGGACUGAGACACGGCCCAGACUCCUACGGGAGGCAGCAGCAGGGAAUAUUGCACAAUGGGCGAAA